GGCGUGCCUAACACAUGCAAGUCGAGCGGAGAUAAGAGGAGUACUUGUACAAAUUUUAUUUCAGCGGCGGACGGGUGAGUAACACGUGAGUAACCUGCCUUUCACUGGGGAAUAACAUCGAGAAAUCGGUGCUAAUACCGCAUAACGUCACGAGACCGCAUGGCCUUGUGACCAAAGGAGUAAUCCGGUGAAAGAUGGACUCGCGUCCGAUUAGAUAGUUGGUGAGGUAAUGGCUCACCAAGUCUGCGAUCGGUAGCCGAACUGAGAGGUUGAUCGGCCACAUUGGGACUGAGACACGGCCCAGACUCCUACGGGAGGCAGCAGUGGGGAAUAUUGGGCAAUGGGCGAAAGCCUGACCCAGCAACGCCGCGUGAAGGAAGAAGGUCUUCGGAUUGUAAACUUCUUUGAUCAGGGACGAAUAAAUGACGGUACCUGAAGAACAAGCCACGGCUAACUACGUGCCAGCAGCCGCGGUAAUACGUAGGUGGCAAGCGUCAUCCGGAUUUACUGGGUGUAAAGGGCGUGUAGGCGGCUCCGCAAGUCAGAUGUGAAAUACCCAGGCUUAACCUGGGCGCUGCAUCUGAAACUGCGGAACUUGAGUACUGGAGAGGAUAGUGGAAUCCUAG
This 626-nucleotide ribosomal RNA is filed under the name uncultured bacterium. RNAcentral describes it as "bacterial SSU rRNA". It matches the Rfam family "Bacterial small subunit ribosomal RNA", at positions 41 to 672 of the family's 1533-position model. The record is from RNAcentral.